AUGCCGAGAAGAAGCAGGCAGGCCGGUGGUGCCGCCCACAGUCUACACCUACGCCAUCCUGAUGAACUGCUGCUGCCGCGUGCGUCGUCCGGACCUAGGGCUUGCCUUAUUUGGCCGCCUCCUAAGGACAGGCCUCAAACAAAUGAGAUCGUCGCCAGCACCGUCCUCAAGUGCCUCUGCUGCGCAAAACGGACAGAUGAAGCAGUAAACGUGCUGAUUCAUAGGAUGUCCGACCUCGGCUGUGUGCCAAAUGAGUUCUCAUACAAAACAGUUCUGAAGAGCCUGUGUGAAGAUAGCAGGAGCCAGCGAGCGCUCGAUCUGCUCCGGGUGAUGGCAAAAGGAGAUGGCUGCUCCCCCUGCGUGGUGUCAUACAGCACUGUCAUCUAUGGCUUCUUUAAGGAAGGAAAAGUAGGCAAGGCAUGCAAUCUAUUUCAUGAAAUGACGCAGCAAGGCGUUGUGUCUGAUGUGGUGACAUAUAACUCAAUUAUCGAUGCACUGUGCAAGGCCAGAGCUAUGGACAAGGCUGAGCUAUUCCUUCGGCAGAUGGUUGAUGAUGAUAUUCGACCGAAUGGAGUGACAUAUAAUGCAAUGAUCCAUGGAUAUUCCACUUUGGGCCAGUGGAAAAAGGCGACUCAAAUGUUUAGAGAAAUGACAAGCCGCGGUCUUGUACCAGAUACUGUCACUUGGAACUCAUGCAUGGCCUCCCUCUGCAAGCAUGGAAGAAGCAGAGAAGCUGCAGAACUUCUUUAUUCCAUGGCUGCGAAGGGCCACAAGCCUAAUGUCGUAUCCUACUCUACUUUGCUUCAUGGGUAUGCAAACGAAGGGUGCUUUGCUGAUAUGGUUAAUCUCUUUAAUUCAAUGGUAGGCAAAGGUAUUGUACCGGACCACCAUGUUUUCAACAUAUUCAUUAAUGCAUAUGCUAAGUGUGGGAUGAUGGAUGAAGUUAUGCAUAUGUUGACUGAAAUGCGGGAACAAGGAAUGAGUCCGGAUGUGUGCACCUAUGCAACCAUAAUAGCUGCACUUUGCAGAAUGGGUAGGCUGGCUGAUGCUGUGGACAAUUUUAAUCAGAUGAUUGGGAAGGGAGUACAGCCAAGCAAAGUUGUUUAUCGCUCCUUAAUUCAGGGAUUCUGUACACACGGUGAUUUGGUGAAAGCGAAGGAGUUCAUUUUUGAAAUGACGGACAAAUGUAUUUGUCGUCCUACCAUUGUCUUCUUCAAUUCAAUAAUGCAUAGUCUGUGCAACGAAGGAAGGGUCAUAGAUGCGCACCAUAUCUUUGACUUGGUUAUAGACAUUGGUGAGAGACCUGAUCUCAUUGCAUUUAAUACUCUGAUUGAUGGAUAUUGCUUAGUCGGCAACAUGGAGAAAGCACUCGGUGUACUUGAUUCCAUGGUAUCAGCUGGCAUUGAGCCUACUGUUGUUACAUAUAGCUCACUUAUUAGUGGGUAUUGUAAGAGUGGAAGGCUCGAUGAUGGUGUUAUUCUAUUCAGAGAAAUGGAGCAUAAGAGAGUUAAACCUGACACUGUUGCAUAUAACAUCAUACUGGAUGGGUUAUUUCAUGCUGGGGCAACAAUUGCUGCAAAGAAGUUGUUCAAUGAGAUGAUUGAAAGUGGAACAGCAGUGAGCAUUUCCACAUACAGGAUAGUUCUUGGAGGAUUUUGUAGGAAUAAUUGCACCGAUGAAGCGAUCGUCUUGUUCCAGAAAUUAGGUGCAAUGAAUGUGAAGUUCGAUAUUGCAAUACUCAAUACCAUGAUUAAUGCAAUGUACAAGGUUCAGAGAAGAGAAGAAGCUAACGAUUUGUUUGCUUCAUUACCAGCCUGUGGGCUCGUACCUAAUGCCUCUACUUACGGAGUAGUAAUACAGAAUCUUCUGAAAGAAGGAUCGUUGGAAGAAGCUGACAAUAUGUUUUCAUCAAUGGAGAAGAGUGGUUGUGCUCCCAGCUCUCGUCUUAUAAAUUAUAUCAUCAGAACGUUGUUGGAAAAGGGGGAGAUAGUCAAUGCAGCAAAUUAUAUGUCUAAAGUUGAUGGGAAGAUCAUCUCUUUUGAAGCUUCGACCACUUCGUUGUUGUUGUCUCUCUUUUCGGAGAAAGGCAAAUAUCAGGAACAAUUACAAUUGCUCCCUGCGAAAUACCAAUUCUUUGGUGGAGUCAUUUGA
RNAcentral lists this ribosomal RNA (2151 nucleotides) under Triticum aestivum (bread wheat). RNAcentral describes it as "partial small subunit ribosomal RNA". Lineage: Eukaryota; Viridiplantae; Streptophyta; Magnoliopsida; Poales; Poaceae. The record is from RNAcentral.